GAUGAACGCUGGCGGCGUGCUUAACACAUGCAAGUCGAACGAUGAAGCCCAGCUUGCUGGGUGGAUUAGUGGCGAACGGGUGAGUAACACGUGAGUAACCUGCCCUUAACUCUGGGAUAAGCCUGGGAAACUGGGUCUAAUACCGGAUAGGAGCGUCCACCGCAUGGUGGGUGUUGGAAAGAUUUAUCGGUUUUGGAUGGACUCGCGGCCUAUCAGCUUGUUGGUGAGGUAAUGGCUCACCAAGGCGACGACGGGUAGCCGGCCUGAGAGGGUGACCGGCCACACGGGGACUGAGACACGGCCCAGACUCCUACGGGAGGCAGCAGUGGGGAAUAUUGCACAAUGGGCGCAAGCCUGAUGCAGCGACGCCGCGUGAGGGAUGACGGCCUUCGGGUGGUAAACCUCUUUCAGUAGGGAAGAAGCGAAAGUGACGGUACCUGCAGAAGAAGCACAGGCUAACUACGG
RNAcentral lists this ribosomal RNA (465 nucleotides) under uncultured bacterium. Its description in RNAcentral is "partial 16S ribosomal RNA". It matches the Rfam family "Bacterial small subunit ribosomal RNA", at positions 28 to 506 of the family's 1533-position model. The record is from RNAcentral.